GGACCAAUAUGUCGGUCGUGCUUCGGUACGUACUGUCAUAGUUGGUUUCUCCCUUCUGAAGAACCUUGAUGUCAUUAAUUUGGUGUCUUGGGGAAUCAGGACUGUUACUUUGAAAUUAGAGUGUUUAAAGCAGGCUCGCGCUUGAAUACAUUAGCAUGGAAUAAUGAAAUAGGACGUUUGAUUCUAUUUUGUUGGUUUCUAGGAUCGACGUAAUGAUUAAUAGGGAUAGUUGGG
Molecule: ribosomal RNA, 234 nt
Filed under: uncultured Glomus
Lineage: Eukaryota; Fungi; Glomeromycota; Glomeromycetes; Glomerales; Glomeraceae
Also listed under: 1 other name
Description: partial 18S ribosomal RNA
Rfam family: Eukaryotic small subunit ribosomal RNA (bases 46-234)
Source: RNAcentral